RNAcentral lists this ribosomal RNA (513 nucleotides) under uncultured bacterium. RNAcentral's name for it is "bacterial SSU rRNA". It matches the Rfam family "Bacterial small subunit ribosomal RNA", at positions 9 to 531 of the family's 1533-position model. The record is from RNAcentral.
GAGUUUGAUCAUGGCUCAGGACGAACGCUGGCGGCGUGCUUAACACAUGCAAGUCGAGCGAGGUCCAUCCCGUGGCAACACGGGGGAAGACCUAGCGGCGAACGGGUGAGUAACACGUGAGCAACCUGCCCCGAAGACCGGGAUAACACCGGGAAACCGGUGCUAAUACUGGAUACCCUCACGAGGCCGCAUGGUCUGGUGAGGAAAUGGGUUUCCGCUUCGGGAGGGGCUCGCGGCCUAUCAGCUUGUUGGUGGGGUAACGGCCUACCAAGGCGACGACGGGUAGCUGGUCUGAGAGGACGGCCAGCCACACUGGGACUGAGACACGGCCCAGACUCCUCCGGGAGGCAGCAGUGGGGAAUCUUGCGCAAUGGGCGAAAGCCUGACGCAGCAACGCCGCGUGGGGGACGAAGGCCUUCGGGUUGUAAACCCCUUUCAGCAGGGACGAUGAUGACGGUACCUGCAGAAGAAGCCCCGGCCAACUACGUGCCAGCAGCCGCGGUAAUACGUAGG